ACUCAGCCUAGGCUUCCAGGCCCUGCUGGGCCCUCCUAUCCACUGAAGGAAAUGGGAGAUGAGUGGGCAAUGGAAAAGCCUUUGGAGUCAAAGGUAAAUCCAUGAGUUGACCACUUAUUGCUGUGAGACCCUGGACAGCCAGAUAUAGAGUUCUUGUUCUAGCACUGGCCCUAGGAAUCCCCAGAACUGGGCCUCUUACCCACACCACUGCCUGUAAUCCACAAACCUAUGAGCACAUGGUUAAAGCAUGAGAUGUGAAACCAGGAAGAACCAGGUCUGAAUCUUAGCUCCACCAGUGGUAGCUCCAAACCUUAGUCCUUUCUGAGCCUGCUUCUUCAACCCUAAGGAAUUCGGAAACGGGACCCAGAAAGUUGUUUCCUGCAAGUGGCUGGAACAACACAAGCAAUAAGUAUCCUGAAACAGGCCCUG
This 429-nucleotide non-coding RNA is filed under the name Pongo abelii (Sumatran orangutan). Lineage: Eukaryota; Metazoa; Chordata; Mammalia; Primates; Hominidae. The record is from RNAcentral.